Molecule: small RNA, 637 nt
Filed under: Pongo abelii (Sumatran orangutan)
Lineage: Eukaryota; Metazoa; Chordata; Mammalia; Primates; Hominidae
Description: retained intron
Source: RNAcentral
AGAGACACCCCUGGGGGCCGGUACGGCAUCGGGAGUGGGGCCCUCCCACUCCAAGGCACAGGGAGGGAGGGGAAGUGGCAGUGGGGGAGAGGUGGGGCUUUGGGGCAAGUCUGAGGGAGAGCGGCUGCCUUCUCUAGAGAGUGGGGUAAGGGUGCAGGUUCCUGUCUCUGUCCCUGCCCUGUGUGUUGUGGGGUGGCCUCUUCAAGUGCCUGUCUGCCCCUGUGCCAGCCUGCCCUGGAUGCCAUGCGGGGAAGCAUCUCACGGUGGAACAGGGGCUACAUCGUGAGGGUGGAGCAGGUUGUGUUUUGAAUAGAGACAAAAGCCUGGGCUCUGGCUGCCAUCUGCUGCCUUUGGCACUUCUGUGGCCACGGGCAGGACCUGGAGGGGCCCCACCUUCCUCUCUCACAGCAGCGAUGGGGAUACAGACAGCGUCAGCACCAUGGUGGUCCACGACGUCGAGGAGAUCACCGGGACCCAGCCCCCAUACGGGGGCGGCACCAUGGUGGUCCAGCGCGUGAGUGAGCCUCUGCUCCCUCCCCUGUACCUGUGUGUGCCCUCCUCAGCCCCACGCCAACCCUACUCUCUGUCCUGUAGACCCCUGAAGAGGAGCGGAACCUGCUGCAUGCUGACAGCAAUG